RNAcentral lists this ribosomal RNA (462 nucleotides) under Acanthamoeba sp. 93GUIL. RNAcentral's name for it is "SSU rRNA". It matches the Rfam family "Eukaryotic small subunit ribosomal RNA", at positions 740 to 1095 of the family's 1831-position model. The record is from RNAcentral. Lineage: Eukaryota; Discosea; Longamoebia; Acanthamoebidae.
GGCCCAGAUCGUUUACCGUGAAAAAAUUAGAGUGUUCAAAGCAGGCAGAUCCAAUUUUCUGCCACCGAAUACAUUAGCAUGGGAUAAUGGAAUAGGACCCUGUCCUCCUAUUUUCAGUUGGUUUUGGCACGCGAGGACCAGGGUAAUGAUUAAUAGGGAUAGUUGGGGGCAUUAAUAUUUAAUUGUCAGAGGUGAAAUUCUUGGAUUUAUGAAAGAUUAACUUCUGCGAAAGCAUCUGCCAAGGAUGUUUUCAUUAAUCAAGAACGAAAGUUAGGGGAUCGAAGACGAUCAGAUACCGUCGUAGUCUUAACCAUAAACGAUGCCGACCAGCGAUUAGGAGACGUUGAAUACAAAACACCACCAUCGGUGCGGUCGUCCUUGGCGCGUCGUGGCUUGCUGCGGCGUGCGAGGGCGAUUUAGCCUGAUGGCAUCGGUGAAUGACUCCCCUAGCAGCUUGUGAGA